This 237-nucleotide long non-coding RNA is filed under the name Elaeis guineensis (African oil palm). Its description in RNAcentral is "long non-coding RNA (EGUI_LNC081105)". The record is from RNAcentral. Lineage: Eukaryota; Viridiplantae; Streptophyta; Magnoliopsida; Arecales; Arecaceae.
UAUAUCUAUGAACUUUUAAGUAAUUAGUCAACCGCUUCCAUAAUGCUAAACUGGAUUUUGUAUACCAAAAUGAUGCAUGAAUUUCCAUCUCUAUCCAUGUACACCCAAAGGAGCUGAAAACUUGUAAAGUCAGCUGGGAGAAAACAAAACAAAAUUGAGAAAAUAUGGUACAAAUGAAAUCUAUCAAGGAUCAAAAGAAAGUUGCAAUAAUUAUGCGAUUAAUAACAUAUGCAGGGG